RNAcentral lists this ribosomal RNA (368 nucleotides) under uncultured bacterium. RNAcentral's name for it is "bacterial SSU rRNA". It matches the Rfam family "Bacterial small subunit ribosomal RNA", at positions 525 to 896 of the family's 1533-position model. The record is from RNAcentral.
ACGUAGGUGGCGAGCGUUAUCCGGAAUCAUUGGGCGUAAAGAGGGAGCAGGCGGCCGCAAGGGUCUGUGGUGAAAGACCGAAGCUAAACUUCGGUAAGCCAUGGAAACCGGGCGGCUAGAGUGCGGAAGAGGAUCGUGGAAUUCCAUGUGUAGCGGUGAAAUGCGUAGAUAUAUGGAGGAACACCAGUGGCGAAGGCGACGGUCUGGGCCGCAACUGACGCUCAUUCCCGAAAGCGUGGGGAGCAAAUAGGAUUAGAUACCCUAGUAGUCCACGCCGUAAACGAUGGUCACUAAGUGUCGGGGGUCAAACCCCGGUGCUGCAGUCAACGCAAUAAGUGACCCGCCUGAGUAGUACGUUCGCAAGAAUG